This 407-nucleotide ribosomal RNA is filed under the name uncultured bacterium. RNAcentral describes it as "partial 16S ribosomal RNA". It matches the Rfam family "Bacterial small subunit ribosomal RNA", at positions 30 to 526 of the family's 1533-position model. The record is from RNAcentral.
AUUGAACGCUAGCGGGAUGCCUUACACAUGCAAGUCGAACGGAGUGGCGAACGGGUGAGUAAUGUAUCUGAACGUGCCCAGUAGCUGGGGAUAACUACGCGAAAGCGUAGCUAAUACCGCAUACUAUUGGAGCGGCCGAUAGCGGAUUAGCUAGUUGGGGGGGUAACGGCUCACCAAGGCGACGAUCCGUAGCUGGAUUGAGAGGAGGACCAGCCACACCGGGACUGAGACACGGCCCGGACGCCUACGGGAGGCAGCAGUGGGGAAUUUUUGGCAAUGGGGUAAACCCUGAUCCAGCCAUCCCGCGUGUGCGAUGAAGGCCUUCGGUUUGUAAAGCACUUUUGGUAGGGAAGCGGUACCUGCAGAAUAAGCACCGGCUAACUACGUGCCAGCAGCCGCGGUAAUAC